This is a long non-coding RNA of Saimiri boliviensis boliviensis (Bolivian squirrel monkey), 719 nucleotides long. RefSeq lists it as uncharacterized. The record is from RefSeq and is a predicted model, not a curated record. Lineage: Eukaryota; Metazoa; Chordata; Mammalia; Primates; Cebidae.
CCUCCGGUGGGCCCGUCGCGCCCUGCAGACUCCGCCUUCUCGAGGGCUCGGCGUUGUUCGCUGCGGCCAACUUCUUUUCCCUCAAAGGCAGAGUCAGGACGUGGAAAGGCUUCCUCUGAGUGUUCUCGUCGGUUCUGUUUCGGAAGCCUCAAUCUCCUGGGGUUUACUCAGAUUGCGGCAAAGUAAAAGCUGUACUUCGUUGGGGCCGGAGAGGAACCGGCCUUCGGAGGACUCUGGCUCGCUUCCGGGCUCCGCCCCGUGCUGGCGGCGGGCCUGGCGGAAGAGCCUUUGUAUCCGGAGUGUCCCUGUCGGGAAGGGACAGUCGUCUACCGAGGGCCGUUCUGAGCCCGGAGGAGAAGUUGUGUGGUGCUAAAUAGCUGUUCCCCUCCCUUACACUGGAAAGCGGCGUCAUGAUGAACCCACCUAACCUGUCGAGAACAUUUCUGGAAACCUUUUUAAGAGACGUCACGUGUAUUGAUUUCUGAGUAUUAGGCUCUGUUCCAAGGGCCUUUUAAAAUCCUCCUCGCAACCCUAUGAGAUCGGAAAUUGCCCUGGUUUGACAAAUGAGUCCAAAUAAAGGAAGGCUAAGCAGCCUGUCUGGGAGAAAAAAGGUGUCAGGAUUACUCAGGAUUCCAAGCACGUUGAUACUAAAGAAGGAGGGCUUAACGCUGGAAUGGGUAUGGUGUUACCCUAGCCAGGUGCGGUGGCUCAGUUCUGUA